UUAAGGCUCCUACAGCAUGAUAUAUAUACUAAAUGUAAAGCUAAAAAAAAACCAGUGAGAACUCUCCUAAAAGGAAGGUGAUGGGAGGAGGAGAUAAUUGUGAUAAAAGCUAAGGUUGACCUAAAGGUGUUACUAAAUUGCACAGCAAGUUUAAUGCUGGAUCUGGCAGCCAAAGGUGUGCAUAUGGCUACUUAUUCCACCUGAGUGGGCACUAGGCAAGCUUCUCGAAGAUGCUUUUACUUGAUACUGAGAUAACCAUCAUCCAUAAUAUUUUUGAGUGCAUGAAAUUUACUAGGGCUAGGCACUUGCUGACACCUUUGCAUGCAUUAUCUAAUUCUCACACUAACAUUAAGAGAGAGGACCGAGUAGUGGCUCCAAGUGUGAACUCCAGAAUCAGGAAGCUCAGGUUGGAUCUUAGCUCUGCCACUCACACGCUGCGUGACCUUGGCUGAUCCCUUUCCCUCUCUCAUACAUAAACAGAAAUAUCAGUCAUACCUUAAAAUGGCUGGGGACAUUCAAUGAUUUAAUAUACACAAAGCAUGCAGUAUCUGGCUCUUAGUAAGUACUUGCCAUUAUUAUCAUUAUUUCUAUUUGACAGAUAAGGAAAUUGGGUCUUAGAGAGGUUAAGUGGCCGGCCCAAAGUCCCCACAGCCAUAUCAAAUUGGCACCAGAUCUAAUUUGACCCCUCUUAACCACUUCACACGCUGACUCAGAAGCUUUGGGCUGCUCUUGGCAACCUCUUGGGUGCAAAUAAGAAAUUCCUCAGUAUUUGCCUUGAGCAAGUUGGGGAGGCUGCUCUGAAGCUACAUGGUGUCUCAGAUAUUGCCAGCUGUCCUGGGCUCUCUGGAGUCCCUUGUCCACAUCGUUAAUGUUCCACUCUCUCUGGUGAAUGUUUCUCAACUGUGGCUUAUCUUUGGGGAACUUAUUCCAGCUGUUUGACUUGGUGAGUCCACUGGGAUAAUAUCCAUUUUCAAUGCAACUUUAAGUUUAAAUAAUGUGGGAGUUGCAUUAAACAUUAUGGUAUAUAUUUGUUUAUGGAUUCUAUUUAUUUAUGUUUAUGCUGAGCCACCCAUCUCUUCCCAAACACAAUUGAAAAUAGCAGAAAUUUAGGUCAAUUGCUACUACAUUUAAAGUCCGCUUCAAUAUUACAUCCCCUAGAAAGAUGCUAGCCUUGUUUUUUCCCACGCUCUGAGAAUACACGUUUCCCUAGGCCUGGGUAGUGAUGUUGAGGUCCAAUGUGGCUGUAAUUUCCCCCCUCCCCACCAGGUGUCCCACCGGUCCCUGCUAUCUGACAGGCAGCAGGAAAAAUGGCCAUCUUCACCCCUCCAAAGGGGACCGAGGAUUUGAAGGUGGAUGGUGGAGAGACUGUGGGAAGGAGGGAGGGAGGCUGUGACAAGACUCCCAGAUGCUGCUUCUUGUCUCCAGACAAAGAGAAUUUUUCACAUUAUUUUUCUUUGAUGCAUAGGUGUCUCUCCAUAAAGGCCGGCCAGAUCCCUGCAAUUUAGGAAGCUUUUAUUUCCACUAAUGAACUGGUGUCUGGCCAGGGCUUUUCAUCUCUGAGCUUGAGGUUGGGGCUGCUGUCUGCUUCCCGUUCCCUUUGCCUGAGAGACCCUGACAGCCUCCCUCUCCUCCUCGGCGUCUCCUUUUUCUUCUAGGGGCUGAUUGAAAAAGAGACAAGAAAGAGACUGUUUCUUCUGCCCUGUAAAUUUCCUCAAAUAUCCCUAAAUCAAUGAAGUACCAGUGUGUGACUGUGGCACUAAGUAGCCCUCUUGCCUACAUUAACCUUGGUGGACAUUACUAGACUGUGGUAGAAAUAUUUCCUCUCUGCUCUUAAGUAAGACUGGCAUUUGCUUCUCUUGCAGGGAGGAGUAAGGGAAUUUGGAUCCACUGACAAAAAUUUAGUCACUGGAGCAUUUUAAAUUUCAAAGUAAAUCUUUCUUUGCGGGUCAUUGGCUCCUUGCCUUUCAUCAGUCCUGCCUUUUUCUUCCCUUUUUUCUUUUGGAGGAUCACGCACAUGUUUGAGAGGCUGCUCUGAAGCCACAUGGUCUCUCAAAAAUUGCUGGCUGUACUGGGGCUCUCUGGAGUCCCUUGUCCGUCAUCACGGGUCACCCCAGCAGAACCUUGGCAUCUACCAUAGACCUGAGGUGUCCAAUUCGGGGCAGUGCUCCAAGUGGUCUACAAACUGGUGCCCUGAUUAUAGGUUAUUCUGUGAUCGAAACUUCACCUAGAGAUCUGCCAAGAAUGUGAAUGGGAUGUGUGCAUGUAGCAUCAGUUUUUGGAGCUUCAGUGUGGGCUCUUUCUGUACUAAAAGGCCUUGAUAACAAAGGCCAGAACACAGUCCUGUGGGAGUUUCUAGCUUCUGUACCCACCGCCCCAUGAUAUGCAUGGCUUUUAAUAUUCGGAGAGCCUUUGCCAAUACACAUUUUCUUGUGUACUGGGCAACUGGAGCCCGGAUGCGAUGUAUUAUUGAUAGGAUUGUAAUUUACUCCUCUUAGGUUGUAUCUACAGUGUAUACCAUUAGCACAAAAUAUGAAAUUACCAGUGGUUGUAUAUAUUUGUCUAUUCAGGUUUGGCUCAAUGAUAUUUGCCUUUUGCCUCAAUAAAAGAUCGUGAAUAAUGAAAGCAGGGUAAUAUUAUUUUGUUGUUGUUGUUGUGGCAAGGGAAUUUUGAUGAAACCAUUUUCUCUGCGUUGUGCUUUUGGCGAGCCAUGCUUUGCAAUGAAGACAGGAGGCAUUAAAGAGUGGGGGUUGGACACAGGAGAUGGAUGAGCACCUCGUGCCAGCUCGCAGCACACACUGGCUUCCCUGGCAAGCUGCUCGGGGCCAGGCUUGGGCUUUCUUUUCCUGCAAGAGGGAAUAAGCAAUCUGUGCUGCGCUGGUGGGAGGAGCCCUGCGCCUUUCUUGUGAAGAUAGCAUUUGCGUGAGACUUGGGGUGUGGGGGGACCCAGAAGCACAUCAGGUAGAACCUUUUGUAGUCACAGCAUUGUGCCCUGGCUAGUGUUUGAUGGUCUACCCUCUGGUCACCAUUGCUGGCCAUUUUGGUUCCUGCCUCUACCUGGGCCAGGUGGCACAUAAAUACACAAGCAUUUAUUUCCUUUAAAAAGAUUCCAGGUCAUAGGGCUCAAACUGAGCAGCAAAUAGAAAUGACACACCGUGUCUGUCUUGUGCUUUUUGUUCUGAUCUUGGGGCCUGUUUCAGAACCUUGAAUGGGAGGUGUUUGCUGGUUAACUAGGAGUUUGCUGGACAACCAGCACCCCACAAUUGGAUUUACUACGUAAUGUUUAUGAGUAAACAUCUUCUUAAAAAAUGCCAUGGCUUGGCUUCUUCACCCUUUCGUUGCCUGUGGGCCUCAGAAUGAAGGGGUGGGGGUGACAGAAACCAGGUUUUAAAUCUGUAUUGACUUGACACAGAAAAAUAUUUUGGGGAAAGGUUUAUUCCUUUUAGUUCCUGCUGGCAAUCUGGGACCCUCAGGGGUCAAAAACCAGGGAAGAGUUGGGGGAAGGUGAAGAGACCCAUGUCCCUCAGAGGUCACUGGCUGGGGGACAGGGCUUGGCCAUUCAAGUGGCAGGUAUCCAUCCGCAAAGCUGGAAUCUCCUUUAGAGUGAGCUCCUAAGAAAAACACCACUCAGCCAUGGAGAGCUGAUACAUUUUGCUGCCUGGGGCACAUUCUGGAGGUGAAAACCGGUUUUUCUCAAGACAUGUCAGGGCCAGGCUUUGUUCGGUCUACUUAGCCAGACUGGCUCCUUAAAGGGGACUCCUUUAUCUGAGGAAGGGGACAAUUAUAAAAAUGGCUUGUGAGUGGUGUUCCCUUUAUAACUGGGUUGGACUUCCUUUGGACUUAAGAACGUUCUCUUGUUCUACACCUUCUUCCUACACACACACACACACACACACACACACACAUAUCAAUCACACAGAAUUGCAAAGAGAAUGAAGUCAGUGUUAAAUCUAUCAAAGCAAUCAUAGACUCUGACAACUGAGAAGUAUUAUUUGUUUUUUUCCUCCCAGAUUUCUACUGAGCCUGGUGUUUUAAGCAUAUGUCUUGGGGAGAAGAGACCCACAGAAAGGCAAUUACAAUUGGUGAAUGAUUAAUGUUGGAUCUGACAUUUUUAUGUGUCAAAUAUUUUUAACUGCAUUAACCUUUGCAGAAUUUACACCCAUACUAUGAGAUAUGUAUUGUAUAGCGUCGGAAAUCUCUGCAAUCUGCCUUCACUUAAAUCUUAUUUACAUUUACUUUAUUACAAUAUAAAUGGAUUUGAAAAACCU
This is a long non-coding RNA of Sapajus apella (tufted capuchin), 4265 nucleotides long. RefSeq lists it as uncharacterized. The record is from RefSeq and is a predicted model, not a curated record. The transcript has 2 exons. Lineage: Eukaryota; Metazoa; Chordata; Mammalia; Primates; Cebidae.